Molecule: small nucleolar RNA, 86 nt
Filed under: Catagonus wagneri (Chacoan peccary)
Lineage: Eukaryota; Metazoa; Chordata; Mammalia; Artiodactyla; Tayassuidae
Description: Small nucleolar SNORD12/SNORD106 (ENSCWAG00000016823.1)
Rfam family: Small nucleolar SNORD12/SNORD106
About the family: This family belong to the C/D class of snoRNA which contain the C (UGAUGA) and D (CUGA) box motifs. This family includes the human ortholog of mouse snoRNA HBII-99 and human snoRNA U106. In humans both HB11-99 and U106 snoRNAs share the same host gene.
Source: Rfam by way of RNAcentral
GGUAGCUGAUGAUAUAACUUUUUUUUUCCCCAUCAGAUGGAUCCUGUUGAUCUAACCGAACUAUUAGCUAGUUUUGUCUAAUGCAC